RNAcentral lists this long non-coding RNA (654 nucleotides) under Salvia miltiorrhiza (redroot sage). Its description in RNAcentral is "long non-coding RNA (SMIL_LNC012217)". The record is from RNAcentral. Lineage: Eukaryota; Viridiplantae; Streptophyta; Magnoliopsida; Lamiales; Lamiaceae.
UCCGUCGUCUUCGCGGCAGAUCCGCUGCCGCGUCAAGACCACGGCCACCACCUUUCCUCCCUUCGCUCGUUCUCACCUUCUCUCAAUUUCGCACUGACUCACACACACACACACACGCACGCAGACACGGCGUAAGCCGCGCCACCGCGUCGACCUCUUCUCGCCGGUGGACAGACGGCCAGGAGCCGCCGCCUCCGUCGUCCGUCGAAUUCAAGGGUAAGCCCUAAUUCCCUUCUCCCUUUUUUUUUUUUUUAAAUUAAAAUCUGAAAUCCCCUCUCCUCUUUUCCUCUAUGGCAGAACGGAAACCACCACGUGGCUCCGCCGCCUCCCGUCGACCGCCGGCAGCCCCGCGACUGCCGUCUCUCUCGGAUCUCACACAAUACAGGGGCUCACCCCAAAUUUCAUUCAAACACUUAGCAUAGGGUUUGUGCAAAAACAUAUACUGCAAAGUCAUACACUGUAAAUAUGAAAUUAUAAAUAUCAUGUACUGUAAUACUUAUAAAAUCUGAAAUUCUUUUCUUGCAAUAAAACACUCAGUGUAGAAAUUUCAGUUCAUAUGUACAUAUGUAAACUUGUUGUGAAACAUCAAACAGGCGUGUAUGAAUUGGUGAUUCCCUGUAAAAGUGAAAUAGGGAAAACCUUGGAUUGGUGGUG